GCUUGCUUCAGCAGUGCAUGUACUAAAAUUGGAACGAUACAGAGAAGAUUAGCAUGGCCCCUGCGCAAAGAUGACACUCAAAUUCAUUAAGAGUUCCAUAUUUUU
Small nuclear RNA from Vombatus ursinus (common wombat), 105 nucleotides. The record is from Ensembl. NCBI's taxonomy places the organism in Eukaryota, Metazoa, Chordata, Mammalia, Diprotodontia, Vombatidae.